CAGCCGCCGCGGGAAUACGUAGGUGGCAAGCGUUGUCCGGAAUUAUUGGGCGUAAAGGGCUCGCAGGCGGUUUCUUAAGUCUGAUGUGAAAGCCCCCGGCUCAACCGGGGAGGGUCAUUGGAAACUGGGAAACUUGAGUGCAGAAGAGGAGAGUGGAAUUCCACGUGUAGCGGUGAAAUGCGUAGAGAUGUGGAGGAACACCAGUGGCGAAGGUGACUCUCUGGUCUGUAACUGACGCUGAGGAGCGAAAGCGUGGGGAGCGAACAGGAUUAGAUACCCGCGUAGUCCCUGUCUCUUAUAC
This 301-nucleotide ribosomal RNA is filed under the name uncultured bacterium. RNAcentral's name for it is "partial 16S ribosomal RNA". It matches the Rfam family "Bacterial small subunit ribosomal RNA", at positions 509 to 807 of the family's 1533-position model. The record is from RNAcentral.